AUGGAUUAGGCAGAGAGCUGGAGUUUUGCCAAGCAAGGAAGACAAGGUGAGAGAGGGCCCAUGGAGUGAAGGGUCUAACCAAGGGAGCAAUUAUCAUGAUGAACUACGAAGGCUGAGCUGUUACAGAAGAGCGAUGACACGAUGGGGCUGUGGGACCUUGAAAAGGUGGCGGAUCAACAGAUCGAGGUUCCCUGGGCUGGCAAAGGAUUGCUGGAGUCAUGGUACCAGAGGAAGUGAGCUGGUGUGAGAGGAGGUGGAGGCCAGAGAGUGAAAUUCUUAACAUGGAGACUGUAGCCACUGUGUCCUGAGUCCUCAAAUCCAAUUUACAGAAAGGCCUUUGACUAACAGGUAAAAUCCAUUAAUUAAUGAGAGUUUUAAAGUUUAAAAGUGCCCCCAUGGCUGCAACUUCUGUUUGUUACUGUUUCCACAAGCAGAGGGCAGGCUAAUAAAAAUGUUACUGUAUUCCUGGAAGUUAAUGAAUAAUAAAACCACAUGCCUGGAAGCAACUUCAAGAGGUCCUAGUUCAGAUGAUUUUACAUUCUCCCACCAAUUCUGAACAUCUUGCGGAAGAAAAUGCCACCACCCAGGUACCUACAGAAACAUUUUCACAAAAUCCUACCUGAAAAGUAUGAGAAGGGAGCCGUUAGGAAGAAGUAUAUGAUUUCAAGGUGGUAUGCUUCAUGUGGUGAGAAGAGGAUGGGACAUGAUUAGAUGUGUAAAAGAGGAAGUGUUAUCGUGAUGGAAACACCCCUUUGACACCCACUACUGGGACUGCACUGCGUCAGACCUGAAGCCAUUACAGCACUGGGCCUUGCACAGGGCCCUUUGGUUGAGGGUGGCAACCUCCUCCAGUUCCUGCAUGUGUCCAGAUGCUACACUAAGAAAAUAAGACAUUAAAACAACAACAAUGCUUUUCCAAACAACUGCAAUAAAAUUUUCUUUAUUCAUUUCA
This is a long non-coding RNA of Macaca mulatta (Rhesus monkey), 952 nucleotides long. RefSeq lists it as uncharacterized. The record is from RefSeq and is a predicted model, not a curated record. NCBI's taxonomy places the organism in Eukaryota, Metazoa, Chordata, Mammalia, Primates, Cercopithecidae.